This 253-nucleotide ribosomal RNA is filed under the name uncultured bacterium. Its description in RNAcentral is "partial 16S ribosomal RNA". It matches the Rfam family "Bacterial small subunit ribosomal RNA", at positions 524 to 776 of the family's 1533-position model. The record is from RNAcentral.
UACAGAGGUCCCGAGCGUUGUUCGGAUUCAUUGGGCGUAAAGGGUGCGUAGGCGGGUCUUUAAGUCAGGGGUGAAAUCCUGGAGCUCAACUCCAGAACUGCCUUUGAUACUGAAGAUCUUGAGUUCGGGAGAGGUGAGUGGAACUGCGAGUGUAGAGGUGAAAUUCGUAGAUAUUCGCAAGAACACCAGUGGCGAAGGCGGCCCACUGGAUCGGUACUGACGCUGAGGUGCGAAAGCGUGGGGAGCAAACAGG